This is a non-coding RNA of Octopus bimaculoides (California two-spot octopus), 83 nucleotides long. Lineage: Eukaryota; Metazoa; Mollusca; Cephalopoda; Octopoda; Octopodidae. The record is from Rfam.
AGCACGAUGGCCGAGUGGUUAAGGCGUUGGACUUAAGUUCCAAUGGACAAUUGUCCGCGUGGGUUCGAACCCCACUCGUGCUA